AUUGAACGCUGGCGGCAGGCCUAACACAUGCAAGUCGAACGAGUGGCGGACGGGUGAGUAAUGUCUGGGAAACUGCCUUAUGGAGGGGGAUAACUACUGGAAACGGUAGCUAAUACCGCAUACCAUCGGAUGUGCCCAGAGGGGAUUAGCUAGUUGGGGGGGUAAAGGCUCACCAAGGCGACGAUCCCUCGCUGGUCUGAGAGGAUGACCAGCCACAGUGGAACUGAGACACGGUCCAGACUCCUACGGUAGGCAGCAGUGGGGAAUAUUGCACAAUGGGAGCAAGCCUGAUGCAGCCAUGCCGCGUGUGUGAAGAAGGCCUUCGGGUUGUAAAGCACUUUCAGCUGGGAGGCGUUACUCGCAGAAGAAGCACCGGCUAACUCCGUGCCAGCAGCCGCGGUAAUAC
This 406-nucleotide ribosomal RNA is filed under the name uncultured bacterium. Its description in RNAcentral is "partial 16S ribosomal RNA". It matches the Rfam family "Bacterial small subunit ribosomal RNA", at positions 30 to 526 of the family's 1533-position model. The record is from RNAcentral.